This 80-nucleotide transfer RNA is filed under the name Salmonella enterica subsp. enterica. RNAcentral describes it as "tRNA-OTHER". Lineage: Bacteria; Pseudomonadati; Pseudomonadota; Gammaproteobacteria; Enterobacterales; Enterobacteriaceae. The record is from RNAcentral.
GGGUGAUUGGCUCGGCUGGGAGAGCACCUCCUUACUUACAAGGGAGAGUCGGCGGUUCGAUCCCGUCAUCAUACCCACCA